Molecule: ribosomal RNA, 328 nt
Filed under: uncultured eukaryote
Lineage: Eukaryota
Description: partial 18S ribosomal RNA
Rfam family: Eukaryotic small subunit ribosomal RNA
Source: RNAcentral
CCCUUAGAUGUCCUGGGCCGCACGCGCGUUACACUGAUGCAUUCAACGAGCUUAUAACCUUGGCCGAGAGGCCUGGGCAAUCUUGAUAACGUGCAUCGUGAUAGGGAUAGAUUAUUGAAAUUAUUAAUCUUGAACGAGGAAUUCCUAGUAAACGCAGAUCAUCAAUCUGCAUUGAUUACGUCCCUGCCCUUUGUACACACCGCCCGUCGCACCUACCGAUUGGAUGGUCCGGUGAAGCCUCGGGAUUGUGGUUCUUGCCGCUUUAUUGUGGCGUGACCGCGAGAACUUGUCUAAACCUUAUCAUCUAGAGGAAGGUGAAGUCGUAACA